CCUACGGGAGGCUGCAGUAGGGAAUAUUGGACAAUGGGCGAAAGCCUGAUCCAGCAAUGCCGCGUGAGCGAUGAAGGCCUUAGGGUUGUAAAGCUCUUUUACCCGAGAUGCAGUAUCGGGAGAAUAAGCCCCGGCUAACUCCGUGCCAGCAGCCGCGGUAAUACGGAGGGGGCUAGCGUUGUUCGGAAUUACUGGGCGUAAAGCGCACGUAGGCGGCUAUUCAAGUCAGAGGUGAAAGCCCGGGGCUCAACCCCGGAAUUGCCUUUGAAACUAGAUAGCUAGAAUCACGGAGAGGUAAGUGGAAUUCCGAGUGUAGAGGUGAAAUUCGUAGAUAUUCGGAAGAACACCAGUGGCGAAGGCGGCUUACUGGACGUGAUUGACGCUGAGGUGCGAAAGCGUGGGGAGCAAACAGGAUUAGAUACCCUUGUAGUC
RNAcentral lists this ribosomal RNA (432 nucleotides) under uncultured bacterium. RNAcentral describes it as "partial 16S ribosomal RNA". It matches the Rfam family "Bacterial small subunit ribosomal RNA", at positions 338 to 795 of the family's 1533-position model. The record is from RNAcentral.